AGCCAAACCGAGGAAGAUCCACUGCGGCUUGGAUCUGAGCCUCUGUGGCUUUCCGACUUCUCGGCUCGUCUUCUCUUGGGCUCCUGCUGUUAAUUGGAUCUGGUGAACUGAGGGAAAUGGUGCCGCAGUAGCUUCUUGUGGCGUCUCUUGACGUAGAUUCUUCACUUUAUUGGGUGUCAAACUGUAUUGGACGUAGUUCGACGAGGUUUUGUGGAACCGGUGAGGUAACCGUGGAAAGAUUCAAUUUUGGUGGAGAUAUGGAAAUUCAAGGUACCAUUGGAUCUUGACUAUCGUCAAUGAAGAUAAAAAUAUAAUAUAUUUAUUGGACGCUAUGUCUAAUAGAAACCGAGACGAUGCAUGGAAUACUAUGAUGACCAAUUGGGUCAAGAUGUACAAUGCCUCAAAGGGUAUUGCUAAAUCACCAGGUUUUAAACAAUUGACGAUAUUGUGUGAUGAGGUACAUGAAAGACAUAGUUGAAUGUGAAAAUCCACAGUUGGAGAAGAUGUUUGCAGGAACAAUCAAGAAUCAAUAUUACAACCAAUCUCAAUAUGAUGAAGUCAGAAGUGAAUGGAG
Molecule: long non-coding RNA, 574 nt
Organism: Zingiber officinale
Lineage: Eukaryota; Viridiplantae; Streptophyta; Magnoliopsida; Zingiberales; Zingiberaceae
Exons: 5
Source: RefSeq, a predicted model, not a curated record